RNAcentral lists this ribosomal RNA (451 nucleotides) under uncultured bacterium. RNAcentral describes it as "partial 16S ribosomal RNA". It matches the Rfam family "Bacterial small subunit ribosomal RNA", at positions 354 to 796 of the family's 1533-position model. The record is from RNAcentral.
GUGGGGAAUAUUGGACAAUGGGGGGAACCCUGAUCCAGCCAUGCCGCGUGUGUGAAGAAGGCCUUUUGGUUGUAAAGCACUUUAAGCGAGGAGGAGGCUACCGAGAUUAAUACUCUUGGAUAGUGGACGUUACUCGCAGAAUAAGCACCGGCUAACUCUGUGCCAGCAGCCGCGGUAAUACAGAGGGUGCGAGCGUUAAUCGGAUUUACUGGGCGUAAAGCGCGCGUAGGUGGCUAAUUAAGUCAAAUGUGAAAUCCCCGAGCUUAACUUGGGAAUUGCAUUCGAUACUGGUUAGCUAGAGUAUGGGAGAGGAUGGUAGAAUUCCAGGUGUAGCGGUGAAAUGCGUAGAGAUCUGGAGGAAUACCGAUGGCGAAGGCAGCCAUCUGGCCUAAUACUGACACUGAGGUGCGAAAGCAUGGGGAGCAAACAGGAUUAGAUACCCGUGUAGUCC